GCGCCUGUAGCUCAAUUGGUAGAGCAGUGGCCUCUUAAGCCAUUGGUUGAAGGUUCAAGUCCUUCCAGGCGUA
This 73-nucleotide transfer RNA is filed under the name Fidelibacterota bacterium. RNAcentral describes it as "tRNA-Lys". It matches the Rfam family "tRNA". From Rfam's summary of the family: Transfer RNA (tRNA) molecules are approximately 80 nucleotides in length. Their secondary structure includes four short double-helical elements and three loops (D, anti-codon, and T loops). Further hydrogen bonds mediate the characteristic L-shaped molecular structure. tRNAs have two regions of fundamental functional importance: the anti-codon, which is responsible for specific mRNA codon recognition, and the 3' end, to which the tRNAs corresponding amino acid is attached (by aminoacyl-tRNA synthetases). tRNAs cope with the degeneracy of the genetic code in two manners: having more than one tRNA (with a specific anti-codon) for a particular amino acid; and 'wobble' base-pairing, i.e. permitting non-standard base-pairing at the 3rd anti-codon position. The record is from RNAcentral. Lineage: Bacteria; Pseudomonadati; Fidelibacterota.